RNAcentral lists this ribosomal RNA (460 nucleotides) under uncultured bacterium. Its description in RNAcentral is "partial 16S ribosomal RNA". It matches the Rfam family "Bacterial small subunit ribosomal RNA", at positions 338 to 795 of the family's 1533-position model. The record is from RNAcentral.
CCUACGGGUGGCAGCAGUGAGGAAUAUUGGUCAAUGGACGAGAGUCUGAACCAGCCAAGUAGCGUGAAGGAUGAAUGCCCAAUGGGUUGUAAACCUCUUUUAUAUGGGAAUAAAGUGUUCCACGUGUGGGAGGUUGUAUGUACCAUAUGAAUAAGGAUCGGCUAACUCCGUGCCAGCAGCCGCGGUAAUACGGAGGAUCCGAGCGUUAUCCGGAUUUAUUGGGUUUAAAGGGAGCGUAGGUGGUUUGUUAAGUCAGUUGUGAAAGUUUGCGGCUCAACCGUAAAAUUGCAGUUGAAACUGGCAGUCUCGAGUACAGUAGAGGUGUGCGGAAUGCGUGGUGUAGCGGUGAAAUGCUUAGAUAUCACGAAGAACUCCGAUUGCGAAGGCAGUUCACUGGACUGCAACUGACACUGAGGCUCGAAAGUGUGGGUAUCAAACAGGAUUAGAUACCCGGGUAGUC